AUCACCCACUUAGGAACAGCCUCGAAAAAAAGUCCUGGCCAAAGGGCGAGUCUCCUGCUGAGAGCAAAUUUCAACCAGCACCACAACGGAAAACCCGCUGAGAAUGACAACAGCUGCCCUUUUCUCAUUCUCUUGUUUGUCAGGUCUUGCUUUUUAAUCAGAGGAAGACCGGUAUCCAUCAGUUUCAGCUGUGAGCCCAAGAGCAUACAAAUUGUCUUAAUGAAAAUUAGCUAUUAAGAAAGCAACAUGAGGUAGGAGGACAGGAAGAUCAAAACUCCGGGAAACAACCAGAGGUGCACCUUGGCUUUGAGAAUUAGAGCGAGGCCUAGAAGGGUCGCAUUAGCCCAGAUUCUUCGGCUUCCAACAAAUGGGAGACCCCUCCAACCUUCCUCAAGAAAAGAAGAGCUUAUCACCACAAGAGAGGAAGAGCCCAGGGAACUUCCUUACAUGCAGAAGUGAAACAGAGUGGCACGAAGGACUAAAUCUUAAGCCAGAAAGACCGAUUCUCCAGCCCUUCGGUGACCCACUUCUGAAUGGCUUCCACCUCUCCACUGUUUGUUGAGUGAAUAAAUGGAAGGAGGAAUGAUCAGUGGCAGCAAGACGGUGGUGUGGAAAUGAAUGUUUGGUUGUUUUUGCC
Molecule: long non-coding RNA, 637 nt
Organism: Fukomys damarensis (Damara mole-rat)
Lineage: Eukaryota; Metazoa; Chordata; Mammalia; Rodentia; Bathyergidae
Exons: 3
Source: RefSeq, a predicted model, not a curated record